This 821-nucleotide long non-coding RNA is filed under the name Homo sapiens (human). RNAcentral's name for it is "HSALNT0298233". The record is from RNAcentral. Lineage: Eukaryota; Metazoa; Chordata; Mammalia; Primates; Hominidae.
UCCACAGCAUGCCCUAGUGGUGCAAUGCUUAAACUUCCAUUAGUGGUGAACUGCGAUGAGUUACCAGUAGAAGGUAAUUCACUGGUUUGGUGGAAUUAGUAAUUACAAGGACUACUCUGGGGAAACUAGUAAUUAUAAGGACAAUGCAUGGAUCUUGCUGGUCGCCAUCAAUGCACUGAAGAAAGACAAAGGAAAUCUGAGGGUGAUUAAUCACCAAUUUAAGACAAACUAUAAAUGCCACCUUGACAGUAUUCUUUAUAUCGAUAGCAUCAUAUUAAAUGAAUCAGACAAACAAGAAAUGAGAAGAGCAUCUCUCUCAGAGGAGGCACUGAACAGCCAAAUACACAGAAGAACUUGUUCGGUUGACAUCCUUCCAUCAGCUUCUGCUAUUGGCCACCUGGAUGCUGGUAAAAUGGGCAGAGAGGUAUAUCAGCCACAACUGUAAACUGGAGAGAACAAGAGCCUCCUAUCCUCUAGGAUUGCUGAAAAAGGAUAUAGUCUCUAAUCUGACUUUCAUCAGUAAUGAAGAUCGUUUUUAUUUUUAAAUUUGAUCUGCCUACUAUGUCUAGUGCUCCUUUGAUUCCAAACUCAAAUAGGAACAACACCAAAAAACAGUAUGAGUUACUGUCCACUCCCUAAACCUGCAACACUAACAGAAGAGUGCUAUUUCCUCCAAUAACUGUUCACUUCCUUCCUAUGACACGUAAGAUACCUAUGAGCAACCCAGAAGGGGGCUACAAUAGAGAUACUGUUAGGGCUGAUUAUGUAUGAUUCUCGAAGCGCUAGCUUGACCUCUACCUUAAAUAAAACGUAAAGAUAUA